Molecule: transfer RNA, 90 nt
Filed under: Rhodomicrobium vannielii ATCC 17100
Lineage: Bacteria; Pseudomonadati; Pseudomonadota; Alphaproteobacteria; Hyphomicrobiales; Hyphomicrobiaceae
Also listed under: 5 other names
Description: tRNA-Ser (CGA) (tRNA-Ser-CGA-1-1)
Rfam family: tRNA
About the family: Transfer RNA (tRNA) molecules are approximately 80 nucleotides in length.
Source: RNAcentral
GGAGAGGUGCUAGAGUGGUUGAAUAGGCCGGUCUCGAAAACCGGAGUACGGGCAACCGUACCGUGGGUUCGAAUCCCACCCUCUCCGCCA